This is a long non-coding RNA of Pseudopipra pipra, 3536 nucleotides long. RefSeq lists it as uncharacterized. The record is from RefSeq and is a predicted model, not a curated record. The transcript has 2 exons. NCBI's taxonomy places the organism in Eukaryota, Metazoa, Chordata, Aves, Passeriformes, Pipridae.
GCGGGGCCGCGGCCGGGAAACGCCUCCAAGGAAUCCCGAAAAUCGGCGCUGAGGGGGCGAGCUGGUGGCGGGAUAAUAUGAAUGUGUGUCAAGAGGUUGGUGCCAGACUCUUCUCAGUGGUGCCCAGGAGAAGCAACAGCCAUGAACCAAAACACAAGAAGUUCCACCAGAACAUGAGGAAGGAUUCCCUACACUGAGGGUGGCAGAGCAUCAGAACAGGCUGCCCAGGGAGGUCGUGGAGUUUCCCUCUCUGGAGACAUUCCAAACCCACCUGGAUGUGUUCCUGGAUGUGUCACCUGCUCCAGAUGACCCUGCUUUGACAGAUCAUCUCCACCCUAAGGAUUCUGGUGAAAACCUUUAAUUAAAUAACCGGACAGCAGGUCGAGGGAGGAGAUUCUCCUCCUCUGCUUUGCCCUCUGACCCCACCUGCAGUCCUGCAUCCAGUUCUGGGAUCCUCAGCACUGGAAGGACAUGGACCUGUUGGACUCAGUCCAGAGGAGGCCACAAAGAUGCCUCGAGGGCUGGAGCACCUCUGCUAUGGAAACAGGCUAGGAGAGCUAGGAUUGUUGAGCCUGGAGAAGGAAGGGCUCCAGAGACACUUGAAAGGUGUUUGCAAGGUCACCUGUAUGCAGACAGGUAUAUAAGAACUACAUUUAAGGCCAAGAUUGCCUGGGCAGUAGAAACAUCAGGUUUGGGAGCAGAUGUGGCCAAAUUGGCAGCAAUGAGGAAAAGGUGUUUCUGGGUGAGUUAUUUAAUUGGGGGAAAAAUAAAACAAACUAACAAGAUGGGAAAGGAUGAAUCUAUAGUGGCAAAAAGGAUCCAGAAACAAAAGUAACAGUAACUGAGUGGUGUGGGAGGUGCAAUGAGGAGCAGCAGAGCUGUUUCUUAAUGGUGAUUGUGUAGAUACAAAUACCACAAGUGCUCAACUGUAACUCAGUAAUUGUGUGUAACUAAUCAGUGUGCAGGACAAAAUUGUAAAUAAUAGCAGUCUAGUAUUAGAUUUGUUCACAAAUUAACUCUCAUUUAUUAGACCAGUAGUAGCGUGUUGAUCAGUCAGUGAAGAGCCCAGUCUGUUGUGUCAGUCACAUCUCACAUCUGCAGCCAGAAGAGCAGGAGCUGGACCAGGAACAAACUCCUGAAGCUCAUGGUUUGAUCAACAGUUCCAUGUUCUGAAGGGCAUCAGUCGACUGGUGUCCCUUAAGGAUCCAUCCUGGGACCAGUACCAGCCUCUCUGGGCAACCUGUGCCAGUGCAUCAUCACUCUCACAGUCAAGAAUUUCUUCCCAGUAUAAAAUCUAACCCUGCCCUCUGUCAAUUUAAAGCCAUUUCCCCCGGUCCUGUCCCUCCAGGCCCUUGUCCAAAGUCCCUCUCCAGCUCUCUUGGAGCCCCCUUAGCACUGCAAGAGGCUCUAAGGUCCCCUCAGAGCCUUUUCUUCUCCAGGUUGAACAACCCCAAGUGUCUCAGUCUGUCUCCAGAGCAGAGGUGCUCCAAUCUUCUGAGAUAUAUAUUUCUAUACACACACUGACCAUGAAUAUACAGUGUGUAUUCCAAGUAACCCCUGAAAUGAUUCACCUAAUCAGAUCAGUUCAUUAUAGAAAAUUACCAUCUAGAAAUAGUAGGAACACAGUAUCCAAUGAGAGAUCUGUUCCAACUGUGCAAUGCAGAGGUUAUUCCAGUCUCCUCCUUCAGCCCACACCACAAUGACAAACCAGCACAUUCAAACACACGGUGGAGACAGGAAAUCUCUUCCACUCUUCCAAAGGAACAGCCAGUUAUAUGUUCUGCAUGCCAGACACAUUACAAGAUGUAGAGCACAACCUUCUAAAACUGAAAUCUCAGAGCACACCGAAGUCCAACCCAGAUGUUUAGACACCAAGAGCAUUUGCUCCACAGACAACCAAGAGGAUCUGUUUCAUGGAGUUCAUUUAUUGUAAGAAUUUACAGAUUUCUGGAGCUUUACCACUUCUUCACAAGUUAACAAAGCAGUCUUGUUAACACAGACACAGGCAGGUUAAACCACAGGCUCAGAAGAGCUCCUCCUCACCUGUAAGGAAAAUUGAAGCAAAUUAAAACCCUUUCAUUUAUUUAUUCAUGUAUUUAAAACUGUUAAUCUCCUCCAAUCUGAAUAUUUCAACUCAUUAAUAUGCCUUAACUCUCUCCCAGACUAUUUAACAAAUAUAUUUUUCCUUCCAUUUUAAAUUUUCAAUAUAAUAUGUUCAUUUUGCUACAUAAACAUCUUUAGGAACAUCUUACAUAUGGAUAUUUUUAAGUCAUUGCAUAAGGUCAGGGCACUACACAAAAAUUCAAACAGUAAUUGCAAAUGAGUCAAAUAAUCCAGAAAAAAAACCCCACAGAAAAUUAUAUCAAAUGUGGGUGCAUGCUACUAUGGACAUAUUUUCUUUAAAAUUAGUGAAAAUUAAGAACUCUUUAUCCAGACAGAUUCAAACUAGAAAUGUGCAGUUUCUCAGCUCUUCAAGAAGAAAAGUUUCUGACCAAAACCACUGAACUUCGACUUCCUCACUCACUUGACUUCAGAUUUUCUGUGUUAAUUCUUAAUUUUAAGACACAACGAAGUUUCCAUGUCACAACUUUACCUCUUGGGUUUGGCUGAACCGCUUUUUCCGAUUAAUCCCUGGUUAUGGUGUUACGAGAAAAAACAGAACAGGCAGGUUAGGAAGCAACUCAUGCAAAUUCAGGCAAAACUAUGCACGCCUUUAUGACCACAAAUGUAUUGUGAGGAGCACAAUACAGCAUGUAACUGCUACAUGAUACAUAUUCCAGACAUUCUGCAAACACACAGGAUAUUGACACACGUAUUUCCAUACAGAGCACCAACUUUUAACUGCUGCAGUAACACACAUGAGCUACAUGCAGUUACAAACCCUGGUUUAAACCCACUGGUUUGUAACCCAUAGCACACACCUCUACAAAACUUCAGUUUCAGGGAAACAAGCAAAACAUUGAACUUAAGUAAAAUACACAUUUGGAAGCAAAAGACUCCAGAAAUCCCCUCCUCCUUCCAAACCCACCCUCCAAACUCUCAGCUUCUGAACACUUGAUUUAUCCAAAAGCAUUUCAGGUGCUCUCCCCCACUCAACACUACUGGGACGUUUGAGCAGGCAAAGUAGGAAACAUUCAGGUAGAAUUGAGGAGAGGGGAAAUCCCCUGAAAGUCAAAAAGGAGGAAAACCCCACUCUGUCCAGACAAGGAUGUGUGUUGAGGCUGAAGAUCUGUUUCACCAGCUUUUUAACUCUAUCUGUUCAGAAAAAACUGCCAAACUUUGCUCUUGUUAGUAGAACUGCGCAAGCUGAAAAGCUUGGGAGCCAUGCCAUGGAAUGCCUUCCCUUUGGUUUCAGGACCUAUGUGCCCUAACCCUCCCUAUUUUCUGGCACACAAGCACCACAUGACUGCGACAGGUCCAAUUUCACAUCCCCACAGGUACUCACAGAGCAGCAGCACCAGAGAUGAUCUCAAUAAGCUCCUUGGUGAUGACGGCUUGACGGGUGCGGUUGAACGUCAAGGUCAGUUUGUCAAUCA